Molecule: non-coding RNA, 20 nt
Filed under: Rattus norvegicus (Norway rat)
Lineage: Eukaryota; Metazoa; Chordata; Mammalia; Rodentia; Muridae
Source: RNAcentral
UACAGGGCCUAUUAGUUGUU